GACGAACGCUGGCGGCGUGCUUAACACAUGCAAGUCGAACGGUGAAGCGCCUUCCUUUUUGGUGGGUGUGGAUGAGUGGCGAACGGGUGAGUAACACGUGAGUAACCUGCCCCCUUCUUCUGGAUAACCGCAUGAAAGUGUGGCUAAUACGGGAUAUUCUGGGUCUGUCGCAUGAUGGGUCUGGGAAAGAUAUUGUUUCGGUGGGGGAUGGGCUCGCGGCCUAUCAGCUUGUUGGUGGGGUGAUGGCCUACCAAGGCGGUGACGGGUAGCCGGCCUGAGAGGGUGGACGGUCACACUGGGACUGAGACACGGCCCCGACUCCUACGGGAGGCAGCAGUGGGGAAUAUUGCACAAUGGGCGCCAGCCUGAUGCAGCGCCGCCGCGUGAGGGAUGGAGGCCUUCGGGUUGUGAACCUCUUUCGCCAGUGAAGCAGGCCUGCCUCGUUUGUGGGUGGGUUGACGGUAGCUGGAUAAGAAGCGCCGGCUAACUACGUG
RNAcentral lists this ribosomal RNA (494 nucleotides) under uncultured bacterium. RNAcentral describes it as "partial 16S ribosomal RNA". It matches the Rfam family "Bacterial small subunit ribosomal RNA", at positions 28 to 507 of the family's 1533-position model. The record is from RNAcentral.